RNAcentral lists this ribosomal RNA (521 nucleotides) under uncultured bacterium. Its description in RNAcentral is "bacterial SSU rRNA". It matches the Rfam family "Bacterial small subunit ribosomal RNA", at positions 988 to 1509 of the family's 1533-position model. The record is from RNAcentral.
CCAGAGAACUUAGCAGAGAUGCUUUGGUGCCUUCGGGAACUCUGAGACAGGUGCUGCAUGGCUGUCGUCAGCUCGUGUUGUGAAAUGUUGGGUUAAGUCCCGCAACGAGCGCAACCCUUAUCCUUUGUUGCCAGCGGCUCGGCCGGGAACUCAAAGGAGACUGCCGGUGAUAAACCGGAGGAAGGUGGGGAUGACGUCAAGUCAUCAUGGCCCUUACGGCCAGGGCUACACACGUGCUACAAUGGCGCAUACGAAGAGAAGCGACCUCGCGAGAGCAAGCGGACCUCAUAAAGUGCGUCGUAGUCCGGAUUGGAGUCUGCAACUCGACUCCAUGAAGUCGGAAUCGCUAGUAAUCGUAGAUCAGAAUGCUACGGUGAAUACGUUCCCGGGCCUUGUACACACCGCCCGUCACACCAUGGGAGUGGGUUGCAAAAGAAGUAGGUAGCUUAACCUUCGGGAGGGCGCUUACCACUUUGUGAUUCAUGACUGGGGUGAAGUCGUAACAAGGUAGGCGUAGCGAG